AGUGAACGCUGGCGGUAGGCCUAACACAUGCAAGUCGAACGGCAGCACAGUAAGAGCUUGCUCUUACGGGUGGCGAGUGGCGGACGGGUGAGGAAUACAUCGGAAUCUACUUUUUCGUGGGGGAUAACGUAGGGAAACUUACGCUAAUACCGCAUACGACCUACGGGUGAAAGCAGGGGAUCUUCGGACCUUGCGCGAUUGAAUGAGCCGAUGUCGGAUUAGCUAGUUGGCGGGGUAAAGGCCCACCAAGGCGACGAUCCGUAGCUGGUCUGAGAGGAUGAUCAGCCACACUGGAAGUGAGACACGGUCCAGACUCCUACGGGAGGGAGCAGUGGGGAAUAGUGGACAAUGGGCGCAAGCCUGAUCCAGCCAUACCGCGUGGGUGAAGAAGGCCUUCGGGUUGUAAAGCCCUUUUGUUGGGAAAGAAAAGCAGCAGGUUAAGACCCCGCGGUUCUGACGGUACCCAAAGAAGAAGCACCGGCUAACUUCGUG
Molecule: ribosomal RNA, 492 nt
Filed under: uncultured bacterium
Lineage: Bacteria
Description: partial 16S ribosomal RNA
Rfam family: Bacterial small subunit ribosomal RNA
Source: RNAcentral